CGACGGACAUGAAGUUUUCGGAUGGAUUGAAAGAUGUAAUGUUCUAGCGGCGGACGGGUGAGUAACGCGUGAGCAACCUGUCCCUUACAGGGGGAUAACACAGCGAAAGUUGUACUAAUACCGCAUGAGACCACAGAGUGACAUCGCUUAGGGGUCAAAGGAGUAAUCCGGUAAGGGGUGGGCUCGCGUCCGAUUAGAUAGUUGGUGAGGUAACGGCCCACCAAGUCGACGAUCGGUAGCCGACCUGAGAGGGUGAUCGGCCACAUUGGGACUGAGACACGGCCCAAACUCCUACGGGAGGCAGCAGUGGGGAAUAUUGGGCAAUGGGGGAAACCCUGACCCAGCAACGCCGCGUGAGGGAAGAAGGUUUUCGGAUCGUAAACCUCUGUCCUUGGUGAAGAGAAAGAGACGGUAGCCAAGGAGGAAGCCCCGGCUAACUACGUGCCAGCAGCCGCGGUAAUACGUAGGGGGCGAGCGUUGUCCGGAAUGAUUGGGCGUAAAGGGCGUGUAGGCGGCCCGGUAAGUCUGAAGUGAAAGUCCUGCUUUUAAGGUGGGAAUUGCUUUGGAUACUGUCGGGCUUGAGUGCAGGAGAGGUAAGUGGAAUUCCCAGUGUAGCGGUGAAAUGCGUAGAGAUUGGGAGGAACACCAGUGGCGAAGGCGACUUACUGGACUGUAACUGACGCUGAGGCGCGAAAGUGUGGGGAGCAAACAGGAUUAGAUACCCUGGUAGUCCACACUGUAAACGAUGA
This 749-nucleotide ribosomal RNA is filed under the name uncultured bacterium. RNAcentral's name for it is "bacterial SSU rRNA". It matches the Rfam family "Bacterial small subunit ribosomal RNA", at positions 63 to 812 of the family's 1533-position model. The record is from RNAcentral.